CUGAUGGCUUAGACCCUUUCUUAUCCAUUUGUGUUGAUUUGGCACUCGAGCAUCAAUACAUUACCCAUCCCCCAACACUGUCAACCAGGAGUCAAGACUGCAUUACCCAUCCCCCAACACUGUCAACCAGGAGUCAAGACUACAUUACCCAUCCCCCAACACUGUCAACCAAGAGUCAAGACUACAUUACCCAUCCCCCAACACUGUCAACCAAGAGUCAAGACUACAUUACCCAUCCCCCAACACUGUCAACCAAGAGUCAAGACUACAUUACCCAUCCCCCAACACUGUCAACCAAGAGUCAAGACUGCAUUACCCAUCCCCCAACACUGUCAACCAAGAGUCAAGACUACAUUACCCAUCCCCCAACACUGUCAACCAAGAGUCAAGACUACAUUACCCAUCCCC
Long non-coding RNA from Oncorhynchus tshawytscha (Chinook salmon), 408 nucleotides. The record is from Ensembl. NCBI's taxonomy places the organism in Eukaryota, Metazoa, Chordata, Actinopteri, Salmoniformes, Salmonidae.